Fragaria vesca subsp. vesca is the source of this 1491-nucleotide RNA transcript. It is a transcript of the gene named F-box/WD repeat-containing protein sel-10-like, with no coding region annotated. The record is from RefSeq and is a predicted model, not a curated record. Lineage: Eukaryota; Viridiplantae; Streptophyta; Magnoliopsida; Rosales; Rosaceae. The transcript has a single exon.
AUGGAAUACCACCAGUCCUAUCCGUACUCAAACAAUGAUUUUCAAUCUCAGACAAGUCAUCUUCAUGGUGAUCAAUCAGAUCAUUACCUUACUUCUGUGCCAAGCCUCCAGUCAGUUCCUUCCCUGACCUCACAAUCCCACAACCAAGAAAAUCAGCCCACCUAUCACCACUGCCUCACCACUUUGCAAGGCCACAACUCCUACAUAUCCUCUCUCACCAUGUCUGGAAACUUCAUCUAUACCGGCUCUUCCGACAGAGAAAUCCGGUCGUGGAAGUGCAACCCUUACGUCGAGUCCAAUAACGAAAACUUGAGUGCUGAUCAUUGCAUGGUGUCUGCUGGAAAGGGAGCAGUGAAGUCCCUAGCAAUUUCAGGUGACAAGAUCUUCAGUGCUCAUCAAGAUCACAAAAUCCGAGUCUGGAAAAUCGAAAACAAUGAACCUGACCACCUAAGGUACUCGCGCUUAGCCACGUUGCCAACUCUUGGUGACCGCGCUGCUAAGCUUCUGAUGCCGAAGCACCAGGUACAAAUAAGAAGGCACAAGAAGUGCACUUGGAUCCAUCAUGUGGACACAGUCUCUGCACUGGCCUUAUCAAGGGAUGAGUCACUUCUCUAUUCUGUUUCAUGGGAUCGAACGCUCAAAGUAUGGAGCACAACAGACUUCAAAUGCUUGGAGUCAGUGAGAAAUGCACAUGAUGAUGCUAUAAAUGCAGUGGCAGUGUCAUUGGAGGAUGGACAUGUUUAUACUGGUUCAGCAGAUAAAAAAUUAAGGUGUGGAAGAAAGAGUUAGGAGAAAAGAAACAUUCUCUAAUUGCUACAUUAGAGAAGCACAAUUCUGGGGUCAAUGCACUUGCUCUGAGCAGUGAUGGUUGUGUAUUGUACUCUGGUGCAUGUGACAGGUCCAUUGUUGUUUGGGAGAAGAUAGAUAGUGAGGGUAACAUGGGUGUUGUGGGUGCGCUAAGAGGUCAUACCAAAUCAAUAUUAUGCUUAGCAGUGGUGUCAGACUUGGUGUGUAGUGGUUCUGCAGACCAAACCAUAAGAAUCUGGAGAGGGGUUGCUAGAAGUUAUUCAUGCUUGGCUAUGUUAGAAGGGCAUAAAGGUCCAGUCAAGUGUUUAACUGCUACAGUUGACCAGUGCACCACAUCUGACACAUCUAGUUAUCUCAUUUACAGCGGAGGUUUGGACUGUGACAUCAAGGUUUGGCAGGUCUUUGUUCCUUGUCAGUAGAAGACUCUUUCUCUUCUACUUGUUCUAAUCUUCAGCUAAGUCUUGCCUAUUGAGAGGAGAUCUUGUUUUUCUGCUUUCUCUUCUAUUGUGUUAUGUUAGUUUCCCUUUUCUCUAUUAUUAGUCACCUGGGUUAGGUUAGAAAUGCCUGCAUAAGAGAUAUGAAGUGUAUGAUUCAUGCGACUGUGUGAUCUUAGAGGGUGAGAUAUUGUUGAGGAAAUGGAAGUAUGAUGGAAGAAUCAUGUAGGGCUAUCAUAUAAUAAGAACA